RNAcentral lists this ribosomal RNA (1328 nucleotides) under Staphylococcus aureus. Its description in RNAcentral is "partial 23S ribosomal RNA". It matches the Rfam family "Bacterial large subunit ribosomal RNA", at positions 231 to 1559 of the family's 2925-position model. The record is from RNAcentral. Lineage: Bacteria; Bacillati; Bacillota; Bacilli; Caryophanales; Staphylococcaceae.
UCGAUUCCCUUAGUAGCGGCGAGCGAAACGGGAAGAGCCCAAACCAACAAGCUUGCUUGUUGGGGUUGUAGGACACUCUAUACGGAGUUACAAAGGACGACAUUAGACGAAUCAUCUGGAAAGAUGAAUCAAAGAAGGUAAUAAUCCUGUAGUCGAAAAUGUUGUCUCUCUUGAGUGGAUCCUGAGUACGACGGAGCACGUGAAAUUCCGUCGGAAUCUGGGAGGACCAUCUCCUAAGGCUAAAUACUCUCUAGUGACCGAUAGUGAACCAGUACCGUGAGGGAAAGGUGAAAAGCACCCCGGAAGGGGAGUGAAAUAGAACCUGAAACCGUGUGCUUACAAGUAGUCAGAGCCCGUUAAUGGGUGAUGGCGUGCCUUUUGUAGAAUGAACCGGCGAGUUACGAUUUGAUGCAAGGUUAAGCAGUAAAUGUGGAGCCGUAGCGAAAGCGAGUCUGAAUAGGGCGUUUAGUAUUUGGUCGUAGACCCGAAACCAGGUGAUCUACCCUUGGUCAGGUUGAAGUUCAGGUAACACUGAAUGGAGGACCGAACCGACUUACGUUGAAAAGUGAGCGGAUGAACUGAGGGUAGCGGAGAAAUUCCAAUCGAACCUGGAGAUAGCUGGUUCUCUCCGAAAUAGCUUUAGGGCUAGCCUCAAGUGAUGAUUAUUGGAGGUAGAGCACUGUUUGGACGAGGGGCCCCUCUCGGGUUACCGAAUUCAGACAAACUCCGAAUGCCAAUUAAUUUAACUUGGGAGUCAGAACAUGGGUGAUAAGGUCCGUGUUCGAAAGGGAAACAGCCCAGACCACCAGCUAAGGUCCCAAAAUAUAUGUUAAGUGGAAAAGGAUGUGGCGUUGCCCAGACAACUAGGAUGUUGGCUUAGAAGCAGCCAUCAUUUAAAGAGUGCGUAAUAGCUCACUAGUCGAGUGACACUGCGCCGAAAAUGUACCGGGGCUAAACAUAUUACCGAAGCUGUGGAUUGUCCUUUGGACAAUGGUAGGAGAGCGUUCUAAGGGCGUUGAAGCAUGAUCGUAAGGACAUGUGGAGCGCUUAGAAGUGAGAAUGCCGGUGUGAGUAGCGAAAGACGGGUGAGAAUCCCGUCCACCGAUUGACUAAGGUUUCCAGAGGAAGGCUCGUCCGCUCUGGGUUAGUCGGGUCCUAAGCUGAGGCCGACAGGCGUAGGCGAUGGAUAACAGGUUGAUAUUCCUGUACCACCUAUAAUCGUUUUAAUCGAUGGGGGGACGCAGUAGGAUAGGCGAAGCGUGCGAUUGGAUUGCACGUCUAAGCAGUAAGGCUGAGUAUUAGGCAAAUCCGGUACUCGUUAAGGCUGA